Molecule: long non-coding RNA, 436 nt
Filed under: Arabidopsis thaliana (thale cress)
Lineage: Eukaryota; Viridiplantae; Streptophyta; Magnoliopsida; Brassicales; Brassicaceae
Description: long non-coding RNA (ATHA_LNC000277)
Source: RNAcentral
UUUCAUUUAAAUCCCAUACUAUGAAUGUUACCACAAAAUGAAUAUCUUUGUUACAUAUUUGAUUUACAAUAGAGUUGAGUAUGAAUCAAAGUAUCCUUGAUAAAUUCGAAACAGGUUACGACGUUUUAAGUUUGUGUGUGUAUAUUAUAGCAAUAUUAAUACGAAUUUUGACCUAUAAUUAUUAAUGCAAAGUGACAAACUUUAGUUUGUUUUGGAUGAUUUUUAAAGCGAGAAUGUGGAAGCUGUGGGAUUGAAAAACGUUUGUUGGCUCGACAUCACGGGAAAAUUCGACACGAGGAACCUCACUCCGGGGAUUGUUUACGAGGUAGUCUUUAAGGUGAAGCUAGAGGAUCCGGCCUAUGGAUGGGACACGCCGGUGAACCUAAAGCUAGUCUUGCCUAACGGUAAGGAGAAACCACAAGAGAAAAAGGUGAGU